RNAcentral lists this ribosomal RNA (253 nucleotides) under uncultured bacterium. RNAcentral describes it as "partial 16S ribosomal RNA". It matches the Rfam family "Bacterial small subunit ribosomal RNA", at positions 524 to 776 of the family's 1533-position model. The record is from RNAcentral.
UACGGGGGGGGCAAGCGUUGUUCGGAAUUAUUGGGCGUAAAGCGCACGUAGGCGGCUUUGCAAGUCGGAUGUGAAAUCCCUCGGCUCAACCAAGGAAGUGCAUCCGAAACUGCAGAGCUUGAGUACCAAAGAGGAUCGCGGAAUUCCCGGUGUAGAGGUGAAAUUCGUAGAUAUCGGGAGGAACACCAGUGGCGAAGGCGGCGAUCUGGGUGGAUACUGACGCUGAGGUGCGAAAGCGUGGGGAGCAAACAGG